UACGUAGGGGGCAAGCGUUGUCCGGAUUUAUUGGGCGUAAAGAGCGUGUAGGCGGCCUUACAGGUCAGCUGUGAAAACUCGAGGCUCAACCUCGAGACGUCGGUUGAAACCGUAAGGCUAGAGUCCGGAAGAGGAGAGUGGAAUUCCCGGUGUAGCGGUGAAAUGCGCAGAUAUCGGGAAGAACACCCGUGGCGAAGGCGGUUCUCUGGGACGGUACUGACGCUGAGACGCAAAAGCGUGGGGAGCGAACAGG
RNAcentral lists this ribosomal RNA (253 nucleotides) under uncultured bacterium. RNAcentral describes it as "partial 16S ribosomal RNA". It matches the Rfam family "Bacterial small subunit ribosomal RNA", at positions 524 to 776 of the family's 1533-position model. The record is from RNAcentral.